Molecule: ribosomal RNA, 448 nt
Filed under: uncultured bacterium
Lineage: Bacteria
Description: bacterial SSU rRNA
Rfam family: Bacterial small subunit ribosomal RNA
Source: RNAcentral
UCCAGACUCCUACGGGAGGCAGCAGUGGGGGAUAUUGCACAAUGGGGGAAACCCUGAUGCAGCGACGCCGCGUGUGGGAAGACGGUCCUCUGGAUUGUAAACCACUGUCCCCAGGGACGAAGAUGACGGUACCUGGGGAGGAAGCUCCGGCUAACUACGUGCCAGCAGCCGCGGUAAUACGUAGGGGGCAAGCGUUGUUCGGAAUGACUGGGCGUAAAGGGUGUGUAGGCGGUGUAGCAAGUUAGAAGUGAAAUACCUAGAGCUUAACUCAGGUGCUGCUUCUAAAACUGCUAUACUUGAGUGCAGGAGAGGAAAGUGGAAUUCCUAGUGUAGCGGUGGAAUGCGUAGAUAUUAGGAGGAACAUCAGUAGCGAAGGCGACUUUCUGGACUGUAACUGACGCUGAGGCACGAAAGUGUGGGGAGCAAACAGGAUUAGAUACCCCGGUAC